RNAcentral lists this ribosomal RNA (204 nucleotides) under uncultured bacterium. Its description in RNAcentral is "partial 16S ribosomal RNA". It matches the Rfam family "Bacterial small subunit ribosomal RNA", at positions 328 to 525 of the family's 1533-position model. The record is from RNAcentral.
AAGCUUGANUACUUGGAGGCAGCAGUAGGGAAUCAUCCGCAAUGGGCGAAAGCCUGACGGUGCAAUGCCGCGUGAACGAUGAAGGUUCUCGGAUCGUAAAGUUCUGUUAUGAGGGAAGAACAAGUGCCGUUUGAAUAAGGCGGCACCUUGACGGUACCUCACGAGAAAGCCCCGGCUAACUACGUGCCAGCAGCCGCGGUAAUA